UCGAGCGGACAGGUGGGAGCUUGCUCCCUGAUGUUAGCGGCGGACGGGUGAGUAACACGUGGGUAACCUGCCUGUAAGACUGGGAUAACUCCGGGAAACCGGGGCUAAUACCGGAUGGUUGUUUGAACCGCAUGGUUCAAACAUAAAAGGUGGCUUCGGCUACCACUUACAGAUGGACCCGCGGCGCAUUAGCUAGUUGGUGAGGUAACGGCUCACCAAGGCAACGAUGCGUAGCCGACCUGAGAGGGUGAUCGGCCACACUGGGACUGAGACACGGCCCAGACUCCUACGGGAGGCAGCAGUAGGGAAUCUUCCGCAAUGGACGAAAGUCUGACGGAGCAACGCCGCGUGAGUGAUGAAGGUUUUCGGAUCGUAAAGCUCUGUUGUUAGGGAAGAACAAGUACCGUUCGAACAGGGCGGUACCUUGACGGUACCUAACCAGAAAGCCACGGCUAACUACGUGCCAGCAGCCGCGGUAAUACGUAGGUGGCAAGCGUUUUCCGGAAUUAUUGGGCGUAAAGGGCUCGCAGGCGGUUUCUUAAGUCUGAUGUGAAAGCCCCCGGCUCAACCGGGGAGGGUCAUUGGAAACUGGGGAACUUGAGUGCAGAAGAGGAGAGUGGAAUUCCACGUGUAGCGGUGAAAUGCGUAGAGAUGUGGAGGAACACCAGUGGCGAAGGCGACUCUCUGGUCUGUAACUGACGCUGAGGAGCGAAAGCGUGGGGAGCGAACAGGAUUAGA
Molecule: ribosomal RNA, 738 nt
Filed under: Bacillus spizizenii ATCC 6633 = JCM 2499
Lineage: Bacteria; Bacillati; Bacillota; Bacilli; Caryophanales; Bacillaceae
Description: bacterial SSU rRNA
Rfam family: Bacterial small subunit ribosomal RNA
Source: RNAcentral